This 58-nucleotide transfer RNA is filed under the name Kotorella pronosoma. Its description in RNAcentral is "tRNA-Asn". The record is from RNAcentral. Lineage: Eukaryota; Metazoa; Platyhelminthes; Cestoda; Trypanorhyncha; Tentaculariidae.
GUCUACAUAGAUUAUACCAUAAAUCAUGAUGCUGUUAACUUCAAGAAGAACGUAGUUU